RNA transcript from Rhododendron vialii, 1082 nucleotides. It is a transcript of the gene named protein DOG1-like 4, with no coding region annotated. The record is from RefSeq and is a predicted model, not a curated record. NCBI's taxonomy places the organism in Eukaryota, Viridiplantae, Streptophyta, Magnoliopsida, Ericales, Ericaceae. The transcript has 3 exons.
GAAGUCCACAUGAUCAAACUUGACAAUCUAUCUCUAAAAAUGACGAAGACAGAAGUAGAGGAGAAGUUCACAGGCUACUUCGACAACUGGGUUUGCCAGCUGGAAGCAUUCCUCCAGUUUCUUUUACGGGCUUCCGACGAGAAUUCUUCUAAUAAUACUGAUACUGAUAUUGCCAAGAAAUGGGACAGUGAGGCUUUGGUGGCCCAGCUCACGUCCCACCACAAGGACUACUACACGGCCAAAUGGGCCGCGGCCCAUGAGGAUGUGCUUGCCUUCUUUGCUCCGGCGUGGUUGAGUCCGCUGGAGAAUUCCUGCCUCUGGAUUACCGGUUGGAAGCCGUCCAUGAUGUUCCGGCUCGUCGAAUCGGUCCGGCUGACUCGGCUCCCCGGUGGGAGCCUAGCCGGCAUGACCGAUAGCCAGCUGGAGAAGAUGGAAGAGCUGAGGGGGAAGAUCAGGCUAGAGGAGGAGAAGGUGGAGAUGGAAAUGGAGAGGCAACAGGUGGCGAUGGCGGACAGAAGGAUGGUCGAGCUGGCCCGGCUGUCCAGCCGGGUGAUAGGCCGAGGCGGUAGUGGCGGUGACGGUGGUGAUGAGGUGACGACGGCGGCCCAAAUUGAUGGGUUGGUGGAGGCGGCCUUGAAGAACUUGUUGGGUGGUCUGGAAAGAGUGAUGAAGAUGGCCGACUGUGUGCGGCUGAAGACACUCAAGGGCUUGUUGGAGGUGCUGAGUCCAAUGCAGUGCGUCGACUUCUUGGCGGCCAAGUCAAUGGUUCAGAUUCAACUGAGGAAAUGGGGGAAGAAGAAAGAUAAUGAUCGACGGAACCACGUCGAAAUCCGCGAGAAUUCGCAGUAAUGUUUAGGGGAAUUGAGCGCAUAUAUAGAUGAGCAUUGUGCUGGGUUAGUGGGUCCAUCUCGGGCAACGUGCUGCGAUUUGAUAUUCUUCUGGACGAGCCCUACAAGAAACACAAGAAUCGGAUGAUCGAUGUAGCUGGAUCUCUCUCGUGUGCUCAUAUGAUCUCAGAGUGCCCUGUAUUUAUCAGAAUAUUGUAAGCUUCAAGCUGUAUCAUGUUUUAAUUUCGGUUUUUU